GAUGAACGCUGGCGGCGUGCCUAAUACAUGCAAGUCGAGCGAACGGACGAGAAGCUUGCUUCUCUGAUGUUAGCGGCGGACGGGUGAGUAACACGUGGAUAACCUACCUAUAAGACUGGGAUAACUUCGGGAAACCGGAGCUAAUACCGGAUAAUAUUUUGAACCGCAUGGUUCAAAAGUGAAAGACGGUCUUGCUGUCACUUAUAGAUGGAUCCGCGCUGCAUUAGCUAGUUGGUAAGGUAACGGCUUACCAAGGCAACGAUGCAUAGCCGACCUGAGAGGGGGAUCGGCCGCACUGGAACUGAGACACGGACCAGACUCCUACGGGAGGCAGCAGUAGGGAAUCUUCCGCAAUGGGCGAAAGCCUGACGGAGCAACGCCGCGUGAGUGAUGAAGGUCUUCGGAGCGUAAAACUCUGUUAUUAGGGAAGAACAUAUGUGUAAGUAAAUGUGCACAUCUUGACGGUACCUAAUCAGAAAGCCACGGCUAACUACGUG
Molecule: ribosomal RNA, 497 nt
Filed under: uncultured bacterium
Lineage: Bacteria
Description: partial 16S ribosomal RNA
Rfam family: Bacterial small subunit ribosomal RNA
Source: RNAcentral